UAGACAUUUCAGUUCAGUUCAGAUCCGAUCCUGGAUCCCAUGGCGACCAGCGCCCCUGGUUUCUCUGUCGAGGACCAUAAGGUUUCUCAGCGUGAGAGGCCUGUCUGCCACUUUCGUACCUGGGCAUCUGUCUCUCGGUCUUGGCACGGAGCCGUCGUCCGGGAACUGUUGCCCGAACACGGAAACCCUAACGCCCAACCCUCGUGGGUUCCCCUUGCCGUCUAUCCCCACCCCAGGAGCCUAAUUGAAUACGCCAACCAUCCAGUCCCAUACUCGCUCAGACUCACUAGACCUUGCGGAGAAGAACAAGACACGAGUGCGACAGCCUCUGAGCGGAAAAGAAGUCUCUUCUUGUGGAGCAGAGGGCACGUAUGUUUCCUCGAGUAGGCUGCCGUUUUGUACGAGGGCGUGUGCGGACUGGGUGGACGGACAGUGUCGUUAGCCAGGAGUUGGAAACAGAUCCCGUGUUUACAGGCUGACAGAAACGGCAGCAACCAUGAGUUUAAGGAAGAAACCCUGGAAACAUCCACCGACACCAAGGUAUUUUGUAAUGGAGAGUGUCCACUGUGGGGGCACCUGGGCAGCUCCCGUGGUUCGGUGCCUGACGACGGCUCCGCGCAUGAUCAUCUCAUGGUUCCUGGGUUCCAACGUCAGGCCUUGUGCUGUCCGCAGAGAGACUGUUUUGGAUCCUCUGUUCCCACCCCA
Suricata suricatta (meerkat) is the source of this 705-nucleotide long non-coding RNA. RefSeq lists it as uncharacterized. NCBI's taxonomy places the organism in Eukaryota, Metazoa, Chordata, Mammalia, Carnivora, Herpestidae. The transcript is spliced from 3 exons. The record is from RefSeq and is a predicted model, not a curated record.